AUUCCAGCUCCAAUAGCGUAUAUUAAAGUUGUUGCAGUUAAAAAGCUCGUAGUUGGAUUUCUGGCAGGAGUGACCGACCACAAACUCUGUUUGUGAGUUGUGUCAUUCUGGCCAUCCUUGGUAAGAUCCUUUUUGGCAUUAAGUUGUCGGGAAGGGGAUGACCAUCGUUUACUGUGAAAAAAUUAGAGUGUUUAAAGCAGGCUUAUGCCGUUGAAUAUAUUAGCAUGGAAUAAUAAGAUAGGACUUUGAGUCUAUUUUGUUGGUUUGCGAGUCAAAGUAAUGAUUAAUAGGGACAGUUGGGGGUAUUCGUAUUUCAUUGUCAGAGGUGAAAUUCUUGGAUUUCUGAAAGACGAACUACUGCGAAAGCAUUUACCAAGGAUGUUUUCAUCA
RNAcentral lists this ribosomal RNA (390 nucleotides) under Skeletonema sp. Its description in RNAcentral is "partial small subunit ribosomal RNA". It matches the Rfam family "Eukaryotic small subunit ribosomal RNA", at positions 582 to 975 of the family's 1831-position model. The record is from RNAcentral. Lineage: Eukaryota; Bacillariophyta; Thalassiosirophyceae; Thalassiosirales; Thalassiosiraceae.